Molecule: RNA transcript, 1950 nt
Organism: Pyrus x bretschneideri (Chinese white pear)
Lineage: Eukaryota; Viridiplantae; Streptophyta; Magnoliopsida; Rosales; Rosaceae
Gene name: TIP41-like protein
Exons: 4
Source: RefSeq, a predicted model, not a curated record
AGAGAACUGACCCACAAAUUAGGCGUAACCACAACCUCACCAAUCGGCACCGGACGCUCCGCAGGUAAAGAUGGAAGCCAACGAUCCACCCACACAAGCACAUCUGUGCCGCCCAUGAUUUGCCAAUGAGAGCCACUCUGAAGUACCUCCCGACCAAUGAGUAGACUGAUCCAUGCCCAAGAGGCCCGUCCCCCAUUUUUAUGUAUUAAAGUAUAUGUCACAACAUCUUAUUUAAUCUCAAACAUUUUAGACCCACCCCAAGUCGUCGUCGACACUCGACAGUAAGCAUCACAAAGACACGAGGGAGAACAAGCAAAGCGAGCGAGAAAAAGAAAAGCAGGAAACCGGGAACAACUCAAAUCCCUGAGCUGAAAAAUGGAAGUGGAGGUCGACGAUAAGGAGCUGAAAGCCGCCGGAGCCGAGCCGUUGAGCGACGGGCGAUACGGCCUCUGUAUCCAUGGCUGGGACAUCGAAUCCCGCAAGCGCUUAAUUCUCAGCUCCUCCAAUACCGAACCGGUGGGAGCAAAAGCUUCAUACUUAUCACAUGCCGGAGAUGGUGUUUGGGGACAGUGGAUUGUUCCUGAAGCAUGUGAAGAGCGGCGCCACGAUUCACUUCAAUUCGUUUGAUGCUCUGGUGGGGUGGAAGAAGGAAGCUUUGCCGCCGGUUGAAGUCCCAGCUGCUGCUCAAUGGAAAUUCCGAACUUGAAUCCUGUUGGUCAUGAAUCUGAAUUAUCGGUUUUGGGAAGGAGAUUUAUGGACAUUUUGAAUCUUUUCGAUAACUUGCUUGAGGGAUAGAGAUACUGGUUACCCUUCUGAAGAUGCUGCUUACAAUGAUCCAAGCAUCAUCAGCCAAAGGCCUCCUGUGAUCAUGCGUAUGACCCAAAAGCUAAAGGCUGAUCGAAAAGUUAGAUCAAAGAGGAAGAGAGAUGAAAGAAAUGGAGAAAAGCAGAAGAAUGUAAAGUGGAGAGAGCAUGUGUUUCAUUUUAUCCCGUCUCGAUGAAGUGGGCCCCACCUUGUGAUGCUUGGUGCUUCAGGGGACAAUGCUGAUGUCAUCUUCACUGUUGCCCUUGCACUUGUAAAGCUUAGGAUUCCCCACUUUCAUCCUCCCCCUUCUCUCUCUUCCUCAAAUCCAAAUGGCACCACCUUUAUAUUUCCUUUUGGACUUGUAACUGAAGAGUUACAGUUGACAGUAUCCUUCAACAACUCUUCUCAUCACCCGGUCAAAAACAUUAUUCUAAAUUUUUAUCUCAAGUGCCUGCCACCUUUGCUUCUUAUCCACCAAGUAUCAAACUCUUCUUAUUCUCAGUAGGAUUCUGUAGGUUAUGGAGAAUGAAUUGACAAUUGGAAAAGCCACUUCUGGAAUAAUCUGCUGGGGCAUCAGCAGUAACUCACUACUUCACCUUACUUUGUUUUCGAAACACAACGGCCUAUAGCUAAGUUGGUUAGCUAAUCUUCUUUUCUCUUCUGCGCUCAAGUUUGAAUUCAUCUUCUCGUAGCUACGAAUACAUUGGAAUAACCCUUUCAUGUCAAGUAUGUAUGAAAUGCAUUGCAGAUAGGGAACCAAGCUACGAAUAAAAUAUGGAAAUGCUGGGAGAGUGGAGAUGAGUGGAUGACAAGCUUCAGAAAGAUGAAUGCGGCUAAAAAAUAGAUAGUGACUGUCUUGGAAGUGGGGUUAGAAUUACUCCAGUUUUGAUUGCUUACUGAUUUGAUGUUUUUUGUGGUGGGGUAGAUUGGGGGCCCACAUAAUUGGCAAUAAUGGUUUUAAAAAGUAAGCAAAUAGAAAACCAGAUAGUGUUAUCUUGGGUAGCAAACUUUUUGGUGUUUCCCUUUGGGACAAUAGUAUCUAUGUGGGUGUGGGUGCGGGUGCCUUGCUGUUGGAACUUGUGGUGGGAUAUAUACGUGUACAGGAAAGAUUCGUGGCAUCAUUUUUUAUACACAACUUUUGGCAUA